Molecule: ribosomal RNA, 253 nt
Filed under: uncultured bacterium
Lineage: Bacteria
Description: partial 16S ribosomal RNA
Rfam family: Bacterial small subunit ribosomal RNA
Source: RNAcentral
UACAGAGGUCCCGAGCGUUGUUCGGAUUCAUUGGGCGUAAAGGGUGCGUAGGCGGCGCGGUAAGUCGGGUGUGAAAUCUCGGGGCUUAACUCCGAAACUGCAUUCGAUACUGCCGUGCUUGAGGACUGGAGAGGAGACUGGAAUUUACGGUGUAGCGGUGAAAUGCGUAGAUAUCGUAAGGAAGACCAGUGGCGAAGGCGGGUCUCUGGACAGUUCCUGACGCUGAGGCACGAAGGUCAGGGGAGCAAACGGG